This 1590-nucleotide ribosomal RNA is filed under the name Paenibacillus riograndensis SBR5. RNAcentral's name for it is "bacterial LSU rRNA". It matches the Rfam family "Bacterial large subunit ribosomal RNA", at positions 1284 to 2873 of the family's 2925-position model. The record is from RNAcentral. Lineage: Bacteria; Bacillati; Bacillota; Bacilli; Caryophanales; Paenibacillaceae.
ACAAGUGAGAAUGCCGGUAUGAGUAACGAAAAGAUCAGUGAGAAUCUGAUCCGCCGAAAGCCCAAGGUUUCCUGAGGAAGGCUCGUCCGCUCAGGGUAAGUCGGGACCUAAGGCGAGGCCGACAGGCGUAGUCGAAGGACAACAGUUUGAAAUUACUGUACCACCGUAAUCCGCUAUGAGCGAUGGGGUGACGCAGGAGGGUAGUGACGCGGACUGAUGGAUGUCCGUCCAAGCAGUGAGGCUGGUGUGUAGGCAAAUCCGCACACCGUAAGGCUGGGCUGUGAUGGGGAGCGAAAAUUACAGUAGCGAAGGUCAUGAUCUCACACUGCCAAGAAAAGCCUCUAGCCAGGAGAAGGUGCCCGUACCGCAAACCGACACAGGUAGGCGAGAAGAGAAUUCUAAGGCGCGCGGAAGAACUCUCGUUAAGGAACUCGGCAAAAUGACCCCGUAACUUCGGGAGAAGGGGUGCCUCGGUAGGGUGAAUAGCCCGAGGGGGCCGCAGUGAAAAGGCCCAAGCGACUGUUUAGCAAAAACACAGGUCUGUGCGAAGCCGCAAGGCGAAGUAUACGGGCUGACGCCUGCCCGGUGCUGGAAGGUUAAGGGGAGCGGUUAGGAGGCAACUCCGAAGCUGUGAACCGAAGCCCCAGUAAACGGCGGCCGUAACUAUAACGGUCCUAAGGUAGCGAAAUUCCUUGUCAGGUAAAUUCUGACCCGCACGAAUGGCGUAACGACUUGGGCGCUGUCUCAACGAGAGAUCCGGUGAAAUUUUAAUACCUGUGAAGAUGCAGGUUACCCGCGACAAGACGGAAAGACCCCAUGGAGCUUUACUGCAGCUUGAUAUUGAAUUUGGGUACGAUCUGUACAGGAUAGGUGGGAGCCGUAGAAGCCGGAGCGCAAGCUUCGGUGGAGGCGCCGUUGGGAUACCACCCUGAUCGUAUCUAGGUUCUAACCUGGUACCCUAAACGGGUACGGGGACCGUGUCAGGCGGGCAGUUUGACUGGGGCGGUCGCCUCCUAAAGAGUAACGGAGGCGUUCAAAGGUUCCCUCAGAAUGGUUGGAAAUCAUUCGAAGAGUGCAAAGGCAGAAGGGAGCUUGACUGCGAGACCUACAAGUCGAGCAGGGACGAAAGUCGGACUUAGUGAUCCGGUGGUACCGCAUGGAAGGGCCAUCGCUCAACGGAUAAAAGCUACCCUGGGGAUAACAGGCUUAUCUCCCCCAAGAGUCCACAUCGACGGGGAGGUUUGGCACCUCGAUGUCGGCUCAUCGCAUCCUGGGGCUGAAGUAGGUCCCAAGGGUUGGGCUGUUCGCCCAUUAAAGCGGUACGCGAGCUGGGUUCAGAACGUCGUGAGACAGUUCGGUCCCUAUCUGUCGUGGGCGUAGGAAAUUUGAGAGGAGCUGUCCUUAGUACGAGAGGACCGGGAUGGACGUACCGCUGGUGCACCAGUUGUUCCGCCAGGAGCAUGGCUGGGUAGCUACGUACGGACGGGAUAAGCGCUGAAAGCAUCUAAGCGUGAAGCCCCCCUCAAGAUGAGAUUUCCCAGCAUGUAAGACCCCUUGAAGACGACGAGGUAGAUAGGUUGGAGGUGGAAG